This 492-nucleotide ribosomal RNA is filed under the name uncultured bacterium. RNAcentral describes it as "bacterial SSU rRNA". It matches the Rfam family "Bacterial small subunit ribosomal RNA", at positions 28 to 507 of the family's 1533-position model. The record is from RNAcentral.
GACGAACGCUGGCGGCGUGGAUUAGGCAUGCAAGUCGGACGGUAGGGCUUUAUCGUAAGAUAGAGUUUGAGAGUGGCGAACGGGUGAGUAACACGUAGGAAUCUACCCUUAAGACGGGGACAACCCAGGGAAACUUGGGCUAAUACCGGAUGAGAGUGCGAGAGAUUGCAUUUAAAAGGAUGGCGAAAGUUGUCGCUUAGGGAUGAGCCUGCGGUCUAUUAGUUAGUUGGUGAGGUAAGAGCUCACCAAGGCGAUGAUAGAUAGGCGGCCUUAACGGGUGGUCGCCCACACUGGGAUUGAGAUACGGCCCAGACUCCUACGGGAGGCAGCAGUCGAGAAUAGUCUACAAUGGCCGGAAGGCUGAUAGUGCGACGCCGCGUGAACGAGGGAGCCCUUCGGGGUGUAAAGCUCUUUUGUCCGGAAAGAAAAGCGCCGGGUUAAUACCCUGGUGUCCUGACGGUACCGGAAGAAUAAGCACCGGCUAACUUCGUG